Molecule: transfer RNA, 75 nt
Filed under: Nippostrongylus brasiliensis
Lineage: Eukaryota; Metazoa; Nematoda; Chromadorea; Rhabditida; Heligmosomidae
Rfam family: tRNA
About the family: Transfer RNA (tRNA) molecules are approximately 80 nucleotides in length.
Source: Rfam by way of RNAcentral
ACAUCGGUAGCACAGUGGUUAGUGGUUAGGGGCUCCGGAAACAUAAAGACGCGGGUUCAAUUCCUGUCCGAAGUC